GACGAACGCUGGCGGCGUGCUUAACACAUGCAAGUCGAACGGUAAGGCUCCAGCUUGCUGGGGUACACGAGUGGCGAACGGGUGAGUAACACGUGGGUGACCUGCCCUGCACUUCGGGAUAAGCCUGGGAAACUGGGUCUAAUACCGGAUAGGACCAUGGUGUGGAUACUGUGGUGGAAAGUUUUUUCGGUGUGGGAUGGGCCCGCGGCCUAUCAGCUUGUUGGUGGGGUAAUGGCCUACCAAGGCGGCGACGGGUAGCCGGCCUGAGAGGGUGGACGGCCACAUUGGGACUGAGACACGGCCCAGACUCCUACGGGAGGCAGCAGUGGGGAAUAUUGCACAAUGGGCGGAAGCCUGAUGCAGCGACGCCGCGUGGGGGAUGACGGCCUUCGGGUUGUAAACUCCUUUCACCAUCGACGAAGGGUUUCUGACGGAAGAUGGAGAAGAAGCACCGGCUAACUACGUG
This 466-nucleotide ribosomal RNA is filed under the name uncultured bacterium. Its description in RNAcentral is "partial 16S ribosomal RNA". It matches the Rfam family "Bacterial small subunit ribosomal RNA", at positions 28 to 507 of the family's 1533-position model. The record is from RNAcentral.